AAUCAAGCCUGGGCAAUGGCGGGCGCCCCUCCCCCAGCCUCGCUGCCGCCUUGCAGUUUGAUCUCAGACUGCUGUGCUAGCAAUCAGCGAGACUCCGUGGGCGUAGGACCCUCCGAGCCAGGUGCGGGAUAUAUUCUCGUGGUGCGCCGUUUUUUAAGCCCGUCGGAAAGGCGCAGUAUUUGGGUAGGAGUGACCCGAUUUUCCAGGUGCCGUCCGUCACCCCUUUCUUUGACUCAGAAAGGGAACUCCCUGACCCCUUGCGCUUCCCAAGUGAGGCAAUGCCUCGCCCUGCUUCGGCUCGCGCAUGGUGCUCGCUCCCACUGACCUGCGCCCACUGUCUGGCACUCCCUAGUGAGAUGAACCCGGUACCUCAGCUGGAAAUGCAGAAAUCACCCGUCUUCUGCGUCGCUCACGCUGGGAGCUGUAGACUGGAGCUGUAGACAGGAGCUGUUCCUAUUCGGGCAUCUUGGCUCCUCCUUGAAAACAAGCCCUGGAAAAACAAAGAAUGGAACACCCCUCCGCUGACUUCAACCAACUGCCUGCUGAUGCGGCCUGACUCCCAGCCCUUUUUGCAGUUUUGAAGUGACAAACUGACUAGGCUACAAAGUAUUCAACCAUGGGCUGGUUCUGGCUGGUUCACCGAGGCUGUGUACAAAGUGUCUUCAUGUCCUGUGUUUCACCUUUUAACAUACAGAACCUAAUUUUACUGCAUUUUAAUGUUAAUUCUCCACUCGAAGGUGAACAUGGGAUGUAUGUAACACAUAUGUUUGCUUAUCAAGCACACAUAUGACCCCCUUUCAUGAAUAUUCAUAGUUCCCCCUGUGACCUGUUGAAUAUGUCUGUUUAGCCAACCUGUUUGGCAUAAAACUCCUAUCCCACCCUAUCUCCCUCAAAGUACCUGUUUGUGGUCUCAGCUGGAGGUGCCACUUCCCAGCCUGCAGUUUGCAACCCUUCUCAAGAAAUAAAGUCUUCCUUUCCAA
RNAcentral lists this long non-coding RNA (980 nucleotides) under Homo sapiens (human). RNAcentral describes it as "long intergenic non-protein coding RNA 3049, transcript variant 3 (LINC03049)". Lineage: Eukaryota; Metazoa; Chordata; Mammalia; Primates; Hominidae. The record is from RNAcentral.